This 297-nucleotide ribosomal RNA is filed under the name uncultured Pseudomonadota bacterium. RNAcentral's name for it is "uncultured proteobacterium partial 16S ribosomal RNA". It matches the Rfam family "Bacterial small subunit ribosomal RNA", at positions 29 to 351 of the family's 1533-position model. Lineage: Bacteria; Pseudomonadati; Pseudomonadota. The record is from RNAcentral.
AGCGAACGCUGGCGGCAGGCCUAACACAUGCAAGUCGAACGGACGUAGCAAUACGUCAGUGGCAGACGGGAGAGUAACACGUGGGAACGUGCCCUUUGGUUCGGAACAACCCAGGGAAACUUGGGCUAAUACCGGAUAAGUCCGUAAGGAGAAAGAUUUAUCGCCAAAGGAUCGGCCCGCGUCUGAUUAGCUUGUUGGUGAGGUAACGGCUCACCAAGGCGACGAUCAGUAGCUGGUCUGAGAGGAUGAUCAGCCUCACUGGGACUGAGACACGGCCCAGACUCCUACGGGAGGCUG